This 2539-nucleotide long non-coding RNA is filed under the name Olea europaea subsp. europaea. The record is from RNAcentral. Lineage: Eukaryota; Viridiplantae; Streptophyta; Magnoliopsida; Lamiales; Oleaceae.
AAAUCGUGCAGGAUCAGAUGGCCUUUGGGGUGCGUCCUGUCAUUAGACCGACUUACACAAAGCCAUAUCCUGAUUGGGUUGACCAAGCAUAUCCAUGGCCUAGAGGGUACAAAGUGCCAGAAUUCUCACUGUUUACUGGUUUGGGAGAGGUGUCUACCCUGGAACACAUAGGGCGAUUCACGUUGCAAAGUGGUGAUGUAACCGAUUACCACAAAAUGAGACUUUUCCCUAGUUCGUUAACAGGAGUAGCUUUCUCCUGGUUCAUUAACUUGCCAGCGAACUCUGUUCAAACAUGGCAACAACUGGAACAGUUGUUUCAUGCUCAGUUUUACAAAACUGAAUCUGAAGUCACUUUGGCUGAUUUGGCGAAUUUACGUCAAAUGCCAAAUGAAUGGGCAGAAAGUUUUCUCCAAAGGUUCAAAACAGCAAGAAGCAAGUGUUUUGUACCUCUGCCCGAAAAAGAAUUUGUCAAAAUCGCACAAGGCUGCUUAAGUUUUGAUUUAAAAAAGAAGUUCCAAGACAAGGAAUUUCCCGACCUUUUCCAGUUAAGUGCGAAUGUCAUUAGGUAUGAGCGAUUGAUAAGAGAAGAAGAACAAAUAAAAAAUUCUAGCAAAGGGACUUACUACAGAGACCCGAAUUUUGACGUUCAUACCAUCGAUGACGAAUCGUAUGAUCAGGCCGAAAUGUGUUUGGCCGAAUUAGUAAAAGGGGAUACAUAUACUUGUCCCAUAAUGGCCAAACCUAGACCAUCGGGCAAAGAUGAACCCGUAAAGGAUGGAAACAUAAAGGCUAGAACGUUCUCGUUCGAUGUAACCAAAGCUGACCUUAUAUUCGAUAAGUUAUAUAGGGAUAAGCAAAUAAAACUGAGCGAUAAGCACAAAUUGCCAAACCCUGAACAAAUAAAGGGUAAAAAAUAUUGUAAAUGGCAUAAUGCAUGGUCACAUUUGACUAACAAUUGCUUGGUUUUUCGUCACGUAUUGCAGGAUGCUAUUGAGUCAGGACGAAUUACGUUCGACGAUAAGAAAAAGAUGGCAGUGGACGAGAAUCCUUUCCCACAGCCACUUGGGGUAAACAUGGUAACAUCUGGAUUCAAGAACAAGUUACCAAAAUUCAAGUUAGUCAUAGAUGACGGAGAAGAAGAUCCUAAACCACAUCCCAGUGUCUUUGAACGUAUCAAAGGAAAAGAACCAAAAAAGGACGAAAACGUCCUGUGUGCAAGGUGUAAAAGGGAAGUAAAUGGAAACACGGAGAAACCAGAGACAUGGCAGCAUCCUCGUCGCCCUGUUUUCUUCCCAAACGUUCAGCCUGGCAGAGGACGAGGUACAUCAUUCUAUAGAGGACCGCCUUUUGAAAGGCAGUUCAGACCAACGGAUGUUGGAAGAACUUUUAGGCCGCAACCUCGCCGGCCAAAUGUAUGGCAUUCAUUCCAGUACACUGCAGGAAGAGCAAUACCCUUCGACGAAAUGACUAGGACUCAACAAAGGCGUUUCCAGCGAAAUUACGGACGGAUGAUGAGGCAGCAACAAGGAAUGCCACACCCUAAAGCACCUCUACUACUCAAGGUAGCCAAUCAAAACGUCCUAAAGAGUAAUAAAGAAACUGGUACAGAUGAAUCAAUGAAAGAACUGCCAGAGACCUCUUCUGGGAGAUCAAGGUUUGAGAGAGAUAAAAAGGAUGAAGAAGAUCCAGAUGAGCCUCUUGCUAUCCAAUUCGGUACGUUGCCUCCCGUCAUGGCCAAUAAUUACUUACUGGCCAAUGAGUUCAAAAAUAAGGAAAAAGAAGAAGAGAGGGAGGACAACGAAGGAGAAGCCUGCGUGCUAGUGUGUGAAGAAGGCCAGACUUCUGGAGGGGCCUACAACGAUGAAGAGGACGAUGGGAUGACAGACAUUGAAGAAGAAAUUGAUCUAGAAGCAGAAAGGAAAAAGAGAGGAGUAUCACGCAAUACUCUGUUUAAGCAACUACAUCAAGAGGGAGUCCGCGAAGUAGACUUAUUGGGGGAGCCAUCUGGGCGUCCUUUCGAUUUCUACGUACUGUACGGAACACCCAAAAGAAAGAAGAGAGUGCCUCGCUCUGAGAAGUAUGGGUCACCUCCAAAAAUAAUGCCUCCUCCCACAGGUUGGAUGAUUGAUAAGGAAGAAAAAAUAAUGCCUCCUCCCACAGGUUGGAUAACCGAUGAGGAAGCAUUAGAAAAAAGCAAGAAGGAGAUUCAGGAGACAGAAGAUCAGCGUGACAUACUACACGUCGACCUAUCACAAGGGGAUAAUUCGACAGAAAACAAGCAAGAGGUAGAAAUAGAGGCUGCCGAAAAGGUUGUUUUUAAACGGCCAGCCAUGAAGUUGACAAAACACCUGAGGCCAUUAUACGUUAAAGCUCUAGUUAACGGCGUCCCAGUGGCAAAAGUGCUUGUCGACAAUGGAGCAGCUAUAAACACCAUUCCAUCCAGAAUGAUGAGAAAGCUCGCAAANGUAAUAAAGAAACUGGUACAGAUGAAUCAAUGAAAGAACUGCCAGAGACCUCUUCUGGGAGAUCAAGGUUUGAG